This 272-nucleotide unclassified non-coding RNA is filed under the name uncultured fungus. Its description in RNAcentral is "partial contains small subunit ribosomal RNA, internal transcribed spacer 1, and 5.8S ribosomal RNA". The stretch from base 1 to 73 matches the Rfam family "Eukaryotic small subunit ribosomal RNA", at positions 1759 to 1831 of the family's 1831-position model. The record is from RNAcentral. Lineage: Eukaryota; Fungi.
GCAAACUUGGUCAUUUAGAGGAAGUAAAAGUCGUAACAAGGUUUCCGUAGGUGAACCUGCGGAAGGAUCAUUACCGAGAGUGUCCCCUUCGGGGGGUGACCUUCAGCCCGAUGCUUUUGAUGAUUUCCUUGUUUCUUUGGCGGGUUCACGCCCGCCAGAGACCAUCUUUUAAACUCGUUUAUACAAACCUGUCUCUGAAAAUACAAACAAAAAAUGAAAUCAAAACUUUCAACAACGGAUCUCUUGGUUCUGGCAUCGAUGAAGAACGCAGC